GUCAUUUUAUAAGAACAAUAUGCAUCUUUCUAGUACCACUGAAGAGAACACUUCUAACAACAAUUUUAGUUGCAUGCCAUGAACUUUUUCAUAACUACACACACUCUGGAGUUUUAGCGAUUAGAUAAAAUGGGAAACACAACUCUUCCUCAUGAAAGUGACCUGCUGGACCUGUUAGGUGGCAUCAAUACUCUUGCCUAAGUUUCAUUCAUCAUAAAGCAGCUGCUUAGCUGUAAAUUGGAAGAUCUAGUAUUGUUUUUUCCUUUUCAUGAUUGAAAAUCUAAAAUGAGUGGCUUUGAUUAUAACUACGACUUGAUUAGUGCGUCAAUGAUUGUUGAAACUGGUUAUACCUGAUUCUACAGAUAAAAUGCAUAUUCAUGCUAUUUUCUUGGUUAAAUACAAGGCUUAAGUCCCCAAUAGCAUUCUUGAUCUCUUAUUAACUCUUCUUUCAUUAAUCCA
This 459-nucleotide unclassified non-coding RNA is filed under the name Hevea brasiliensis (rubber tree). Lineage: Eukaryota; Viridiplantae; Streptophyta; Magnoliopsida; Malpighiales; Euphorbiaceae. The record is from RNAcentral.